UGGGUGGGGCCGAAAGGAGAUUAGUGUGUAAGUAGAUUGCGGGAAGUGUGAGUUUUGGUUAAAUAAGGGGGGUGGUAUCGGGUAUGGUAUUUUGAUGAGUUGGAGGAAUAUUUAGAGCAUGUUUUUGGUGUAGAUGGGGUAAGGUGUGGGGGGGGGAAGGGGUGGGAAGGUUGUACGGAUAUGGGGGUGAUGGUGAUGCGGUGUCGUAUGGGGUGUGAGUCUGCGGGAUGUAUAUAUGUAAGGGAUAGCGGUUAUGGCCUUAUAGGUGGAUUGGUAGGGAUGAGUGUAAUUAUAGUAGGGGGUUGGAGGAAUUUGCCGAUAGGGAGACAGUAGUAACAGGUAGUGCGAUGGUAAGGGGUAGGUCUUUGUAUUCGCAAGAUGAUGGUUUAGGUACCGCAAGGAGGGGCAGCCCUUAAGAAUCAGUGGCCAGCAUUCAGUUGGGCAAUCGGGUGAGACUGCCGGUGGCAAACCGGAGGAAGGUGGGGGUGAAGUCAAAUCAUCAUGCCCCUUAUGACCUGGGCUACACACGUGCUACAAUGGACGGUACAACGAGUUGCGAAGUCGUGAGGCUAAGCUAAUCUCUUAAAGCCGUUCUCAGUUCGGAUUGUAGGCUGCAACUCGCCUACAUGAAGUUGGAAUCGCUAGUAAUCGCGGAUCAGCAUGCCGCGGUGAAUACGUUCCCGGGCCUUGUACACACCGCCCGUCACACCAUGAGAGUUUGAACACCCAAAGCCGGUGAGAUAACCUUCGGGAGUCAGCCGUCUAAGGGGGACAGAGAUUAGGGGAGUCGACAGAGCGGCAA
This 802-nucleotide ribosomal RNA is filed under the name Levilactobacillus brevis. RNAcentral's name for it is "bacterial SSU rRNA". The stretch from base 239 to 802 matches the Rfam family "Bacterial small subunit ribosomal RNA", at positions 874 to 1502 of the family's 1533-position model. The record is from RNAcentral. Lineage: Bacteria; Bacillati; Bacillota; Bacilli; Lactobacillales; Lactobacillaceae.